RNAcentral lists this ribosomal RNA (464 nucleotides) under uncultured bacterium. RNAcentral describes it as "partial 16S ribosomal RNA". It matches the Rfam family "Bacterial small subunit ribosomal RNA", at positions 29 to 507 of the family's 1533-position model. The record is from RNAcentral.
ACGCACGCUGGCGGCGUGCUUAACCCAUGCAAGUCGCACGGAAAGGCCCUGCUUGCAGGGUACUCGAGUGGCGAACGGGUGAGUAACACGUGGGUGAUCUGCCCUGCACUUCGGGAUAAGCCUGGGAAACUGGGUCUAAUACCGGAUAGGAGCCAUUUUUAGUGUGAUGGUUGGAAAGUUUUUUCGGUGUAGGAUGAGCUCGCGGCCUAUCAGCUUGUUGGUGGGGUAAUGGCCUACCAAGGCGGCGACGGGUAGCCGGCCUGAGAGGGUGGACGGCCACAUUGGGACUGAGAUACGGCCCAGACUCCUACGGGAGGCAGCAGUGGGGAAUAUUGCACAAUGGGCGCAAGCCUGAUGCAGCGACGCCGCGUGGGGGAUGACGGCCUUCGGGUUGUAAACUCCUUUCGCUAGGGACGAAGCUUUUUGUGACGGUACCUAGAUAAGAAGCACCGGCUAACUACGUG